UGAUUUUUACUUUUUGGUUUUGUCUUUUUAUUGAAUGAGUAGUACAAAUUGGUUGAGAACGCGAAAAGGAGGAGAAAGAGGGUUAUGCUGUUAUGUUGUUGCAGAAUGCGAAGGUUCAGAGUGAGGACUGUUACGAAAACGGUUAAUACACUGUUCCGUACACUGAGUGGCACCAGAGAAUGAGGUAAGACUCUAAUGUACAUCAGCAGGGUGGGUUGGUAUUCGUACUGAGAGGCCACCAACGAAACCAAACGAAUGUAGCUCCUCUGCU
Molecule: long non-coding RNA, 271 nt
Filed under: Glycine max (soybean)
Lineage: Eukaryota; Viridiplantae; Streptophyta; Magnoliopsida; Fabales; Fabaceae
Description: long non-coding RNA (GMAX_LNC003131)
Source: RNAcentral